This 492-nucleotide ribosomal RNA is filed under the name uncultured bacterium. Its description in RNAcentral is "partial 16S ribosomal RNA". It matches the Rfam family "Bacterial small subunit ribosomal RNA", at positions 29 to 507 of the family's 1533-position model. The record is from RNAcentral.
AGUGAACGCUGGCGGUAGGCCUAACACAUGCAAGUCGAACGGCAGCACAGUAAGAGCUUGCUCUUACGGGUGGCGAGUGGCGGACGGGUGAGGAAUACAUCGGAAUCUACUUUUUCGUGGGGGAUAACGUAGGGAAACUUACGCUAAUACCGCAUACGACCUACGGGUGAAAGCAGGGGAUCUUCGGACCUUGCGCGAUUGAAUGAGCCGAUGUCGGAUUAGAUAGUUGGGGGGGUAAAGUCCCACCAAGGCGACGAUCCGUAGCUGGUCGGAGAGGAUGAUCAGCCACACUAGAACUGAGACACGGUCCAGACUCCUACGGGAGGCAGCAGUGGGGAAUAUUGGACAAUGGGAGCGAGCCUGAUCCAGCCAUACCGCGUGGGUGAAGAAGGCCUUCGGGUUGUAAAGCCCUUUUGUUGGGAAAGAAAAGCAGCAGGUUAAUACCCCGCUGUUCUGACGGUACCCAAAGAAUAAGCACCGGCUAACUUCGUG